Molecule: long non-coding RNA, 663 nt
Filed under: Salvia miltiorrhiza (redroot sage)
Lineage: Eukaryota; Viridiplantae; Streptophyta; Magnoliopsida; Lamiales; Lamiaceae
Description: long non-coding RNA (SMIL_LNC000936)
Source: RNAcentral
GUUGUGAUUUCAAGAACAUUUAAUUCUGAAUUCAUAGAUCUAACCUUGAAUUCAAGAAAAAUGAAUUGCUCGAUUGGCACUGCUAUAAACUAGUCAGAAAUUCUCCAUUUUCCAUCGAAGACAGCAAAUUUAGAUUAAAUCGGAAUCAAAUCGAAGUAAAUAAUAUAUCAGGAUAACAAUCAAUCAUCGAAUACAAGAAGAGAAAACUUUGAAUUAAAUCGAAAUAAAUAAUUGUGUAGAUCUGACGUAGAUCUACCGGGAACCUAAUCAAUUAUCGAAUGAAUUAAAUUGAAUAUAAAUCGAAAUAAAUAAUUGAGCUAGACAUAGAUCUAUCGGGAAAGUAGAUCUGCGAGUACAAUCGAUCAUUGAAGAAAACAAAAAAAUUGAAGAAAAUUUUAAAUUAAAUCAGUUCAAAAUCAAAAUAAAUCAAGAGAUACAACUGGAAUCCGGAGCUGGAGUACUGAUCCAGCGACAGAGAGAGGCCGCAACCGCCGUCGAGUAUCUGUUAGUACUGGAAGUACUGGAAGGAUUGGAGGCGAGAGAGAGAAAAGAGGAGAGAGAGGCUCUGGUACCGAAAAAAGAAAAAAGAGAAGAGAGAGAGAAAAGAGGAGAGAGAGAAGAGAAAACAGAAGAGAGAGAGAGAGGAGAGAGAGGUUCGAAAAA